UGGGGAAUCUUCCGCAAUGGACGAAAGUCUGACGGAGCAACGCCGCGUGAGUGAAGAAGGUUUUCGGAUCGUAAAACUCUGUCUUUUGGGGCGAACGUGAGUAUGGUGAACAAUCAUAGUCAGUGACGGUACCAAAGGAGGAAGCCACGGCUAACUACGUGCCAGCAGCCGCGGUAAUACGUAGGUGGCAAGCGUUGUCCGGAAUUAUUGGGCGUAAAGAGCGCGUAGGCGGGAUAGUCAGUCUGUUGUAAAGUGCGGGGCUCAACCCCGUGAUGGCAAUGGAAACAGCUAUUCUUGAGUGCAGGAGAGGAAAGUGGAAUUCCCAGUGUAGCGGUGAAAUGCGUAGAUAUUGGGAGGAACACCAGUGGCGAAGGCGACUUUCUGGACUGUGUCUGACGCUGAGGCGCGAAAGCCAGGGGAGCGAACGGGAUUAGAUACCCCCGGUAGUCCUGGCCGUAAACGAUGGGUACUAGGUGUGGGAGGUAUCGACCCCCUUUCCGUGCCGGAGUUAACGCAAUAAGUACCCCGCCUGGGGAGUACGGUCGCAAGACUGAAACUCAAAUGAAUUGAC
This 571-nucleotide ribosomal RNA is filed under the name uncultured bacterium. RNAcentral describes it as "partial 16S ribosomal RNA". It matches the Rfam family "Bacterial small subunit ribosomal RNA", at positions 355 to 914 of the family's 1533-position model. The record is from RNAcentral.